This 687-nucleotide ribosomal RNA is filed under the name uncultured archaeon. RNAcentral describes it as "bacterial SSU rRNA". It matches the Rfam family "Archaeal small subunit ribosomal RNA", at positions 78 to 768 of the family's 1478-position model. The record is from RNAcentral.
GUGGCAUACGGCUCAGUAACACGUAGUCAACAUAACCAAAGGACGUGGAUAAACUCGGGAAACUGAGGCUAAACCGCGAUAGAUCAAGAUAUCUGGAAUGGUUUUUGAUCAAAAUCUAUAUGGCCUUUGGAUUGGACUGCGUCCGAUCAGGCUGUUGGUGAGGUAAUGGCCCACCAAACCUGUAACCGGUACGGGCUCUGAGAGGAGGAGCCCGGAGAUGGGUACUGAGACAAGGACCCAGGCCCUAUGGGGCGCAGCAGGCGCGAAACCUCUGCAAUAGGCGAAAGCCUGACAGGGUUACUCUGAGUGACUUUCGCUAAGAAAGUCUUUUGACACCUCUAAAAAUGGUGUAGAAUAAGGGGUGGGCAAGUCUGGUGUCAGCCGCCGCGGUAAUACCAGCACCCCGAGUGGUCGGGACGAUUAUUGGGCCUAAAGCAUCCGUAGCCGGUUUUACAAGUCCUCCGUUAAAUCCAGCUGCUUAACAGAUGGGCUGCGGAGGAUACUAUAAGACUAGGAGGCAGGAGAGGCAAGCGGUACUCAGUGGGUAGGGGUAAAAUCCGUUGAUCCAUUGAAGACCACCAGUGGCGAAGGCGGCUUGCCAGAAUGCGCUCGACGGUGAGGGAUGAAAGCUGGGGGAGCAAACCGGAUUAGAUACCCGGGUAGUCCCAGCUGUAAACGAUGCAGACU